ACCGGCGCACGGGUGAGUAACGCGUAUCCAACCUUCCCCUUAGUAGGGCAUAGCCCGUAGAAAUGCGGAUUAAUACCCUAUGUUGUUCAAUGCGGACAUCUAAGUUGAAACCAAAGGUUUACCGCUAAGGGAUGGGGAUGCGUCCGAUUAGGCCGCAGGCGGGGUAACGGCCCACCUGGCCAACGAUCGGUAGGGGUUCUGAGAGGAAGGUCCCCCACAUUGGAACUGAGACACGGUCCAAACUCCUACGGGAGGCAGCAGUGAGGAAUAUUGGUCAAUGGGCGAGAGCCUGAACCAGCCAAGUAGCGUGCAGGACGACGGCCCUAUGGGUUGUAAACUGUCUUUUAUGCGGGGAUUAAAGUUCACUACGCGUAGUGUUUUGUAGGUACCGCAUGAAUAAGGACCGGCUAAUUCCGUGCCAGCCGCCGC
Molecule: ribosomal RNA, 429 nt
Filed under: uncultured bacterium
Lineage: Bacteria
Description: bacterial SSU rRNA
Rfam family: Bacterial small subunit ribosomal RNA
Source: RNAcentral